This 140-nucleotide unclassified non-coding RNA is filed under the name Oryza sativa (Asian cultivated rice). Its description in RNAcentral is "partial microRNA MIR440b-29 precursor". The record is from RNAcentral. Lineage: Eukaryota; Viridiplantae; Streptophyta; Magnoliopsida; Poales; Poaceae.
CGGUCUUUGAGGAGGUACCAUGAGGUACCAAAAAUUUAGUGUAAAAUUUGGUACCUCAUGGUACCUCAUAGUACCUAGGUACCGAGAGAAUCCAAAUUUACAAUAGAAAAAAGGGUACCUCAUGGUACCUUCUCAAGUAC